UUUACGCGAUGGGUUUUUUCUACAGUAUUCUAAACCAAACUGUUCCACUUCGCCAUUAUUUCCUGUUAAAAAAAAGUUUGAAACUGAAAAGUACACUAUUGAUUUAGUCUGGAAACUGCGUUGUUGCCUCUCACUCACAAUCUCCAUUUCUGAUAAAAGUAAGAAGAAUCGUCGAUUUUUAUUCCUCUGAGUUUCAGAAUUGAUAGAUUUUGGAGUGAUAAAAAGCAGCAAAGAAAUUCGGUACGGCUUCAGAAAAAAGAAAACCAAGUUCAGUUUUUGGUUUAAGCCAUGAAGAAGGAAAACCCAGGUUGAGUUCUUAUGCAGCAAUCAUUACUUUUCCGAGAUAGCCUCAAGGUAAAAAAAAAUCAUUGAAAGUGUUUGUUGAAUUGUCUCAGUGAGAGUGAUGGAUAUUCGUUUUCAUUAUUGGGUUUGCAGGAAUGAAAAAUUUGAGAUGAUAGUCCCGUUCAGCUGUAAACAUUUUGAAUUGUCCUAUAGCAAAGAUGACGAAAAACAAACUUAGGUAUCCUAAUUUAGUUCCACUGCAAUUCUAUAUAUGGGGUUUAAAGGGGAUUCUCUUUUAAACUGUAUUUUUUUUCUUUGGCUUUGUAGUAGAGUGGUGGAUUCUUUGAAACAUCAUGCAGGUAGACCUGUGGUAAAUAUGGUGGAUCCUUUAGGUUAUUGAUAUAUGGAUAAUAAAACGGUAAAUAUAGCCUUAGGAGCAGAGCCGUGGGUGCCUUGCAUCAACCAGGUAUUUUCGGAUCGCCUUUGUUACCUAGAGACUUUGAAUUCAGUUAUUACGUGUGAGUUAUCUUACAACGGUAUCUAGAAUGAAUCCCUUGCAAGCAAUUGUUUGAUAAUACGAAGUUCUUGAUAAGGUUGGUUAAGAAAAAAAAGAGUAAUCAUUGAAAAACACUAAUUUCUCCAAUAUUUAUAGCUUAGGAUGGCAGUGGCGCCUCCCGUAAAACUAUCCGUAGAAGUCCUAGGCUAAUCGUGCAAGCUCGACUUCAAGAAACAAUACAUAUACAGAUCCGAAUUGGUAAGAUCUUCUUUUCAAAAAUAGAUUGAUUGUUUGCCUCUUGGUUUUUUGAUAGUCUAGAAUUUGACAUUUAUGUCCAUGGUUUCCAAAGGAAGCUUGAAUGUUCAAUUUUUAUGAACAUGGCAACAUGCUCUCAUAAAACAAUAGAUAAUAACUAAUGUUUUAGUGUAUUGUCAAUGUCAGGCAAAGAAGAACUAAACAGUCUUCGUAUAUUAGGAUACUACUCUAUACCAACAUUUAGCCAGCAUAUGCUUGACAAGGAUUCCCUUCCUGAUAUUUGGGCCUUAGGAUCCAGUAACCCUUGGCGCUUGCAGUCUUGAUUUACAAAAACCGUCAUACUUUCUUUGUGUGGACCCUGCCAAGGUGGGGAGUUAGUUUUAUUCCUGCCUCUUAUUUAUGCUAAUUUUCUAUGGGUAUUGAAACAACAUUGUCACUGUCCUUACCCUAAAUCACUCCUUUAUCAGUUCUGUGAACAAUCUUGGACUAUACUUAUUUCCUUUGGCUUCUCGCUUUUUCUUUUCAGUCUUUUGCCCAUCUUCCAACCUGUAGCAUUCAUAACAUAGAAAACCCUUUCAUGUUAACUUGAAUAUAUGCAGUACAUUGUAAUGUUGGAUGUAUUGAAACAAAUGUAUGAGAUUCCUUUUCUGUCUCGGGCCACUGGAUUCUAGCAACCUGAAAUGGAAUGUGUUUUCUUGCUGUUCUCUUACCAGCUUUACAUAGAUCGCCCUUCUCAUAAGAAUAUAUAUCAUGGUGUAAAUGGGAAUUUAAUGACAACAAUUUCUUGGGUGCAAUAGUAAAGUUGUUUAUCUUAUCACCAAGUAUGUAUUAGGAAGUUUGUCAAUUUCUGGAAUGUCACCUGAUUGAUUUUUAGUGUUUAACAUAUAUAAUUUCUUAAUAUAACGGGAUUGCGUUACUUAACACGCCGAUUAAAGUAAGACCGCUAAACAAGUCUAUGCCACAUCAAAUAUGAGCUUCUUAUUUUAGAUCAUUUUAUUUUUAAAAUAUUUAAAAACUCUCAAGUAAAUGAUUGCUUAUCCAAAUUUUCAUUUUCCGGGUCUGUUUGUUGUUGUUCGUUUUGUUUCGAGUUUCUUUAUCUUUUUCUUUCUUCAUGUUUCCGAUUUUAAGAUCGGUAAUUUUCCAGCAACUACAAAUUCAAGAAAUGUAUAGAUGAUUGUACAACAACUUCGUUGUUACCUUAUCUACUAGAGAAGAACAUAAAAAGAAGAGGUAUUCGUUUAUGUAUCUAUAUGUUUGUCAGGACCUAUUUACAAUAGAAGCGGAGAUCAGUAAUUUUCCUCUACUCAAUUAACACAGUAUGUUCAGAAAAUAGCUUUAAAGGCGCUAUGUCUGAUAGGCUUUGAGUUGUUGCUGAAAAAUGUUUGGGCAGUAUGUUUGGGAGCCUAUAUUGCAAUAACUAAAGGUGAUAUGCUAAGUAACACUUUUCAUGCAUAUAAUUUUUUUUAAGGCUUUUGAUAUCAUAUCUUGGAGCAAAUCAAAGUGAAUAAAAGAUGAGAUUUAGGCUAAUUUACGGAUCCAUGAUUUAUUGUUAGAAGGAAUUAUUCUUAGUACCUACACACUGCUAUCAUGUUUCACCAAAUUUAUUUUGAUUUUGCUGAUUAAAUUAAUUCUUUGCUUCAUUCUGACCUUAUGUUGGAAAAAUGUUAUUUCAGGAAUAUUAUCAAGGAUGUAAUCCCAUUUGGUUAGAUCCUAUUUCAUAAUUAUACUUCUGCAGGUGCUUGGAUGUAAGAUCACCCCAUCAUUAUCACAGUGGCCGUGAAAAAAGGAAAAACACCUUCAGAUUUUGGAUACUGAUAACAGAAAAACCAAAGCCCAGCUCAUCUCUUUGAAAUGGGACCCCCUUUUACACGGUGAGCGAGUGUGAGGUAAAUAAAAUUAAUUUAUCUUGCUCCCACUCCCUUUUAUCUUCCUCGCGCUACCCGAGAACAUUAGACUAUCAUAUUGUUAGAAGUUCCCUCCUGCUAAAAGAAAAUUCUGCGGGAAUUGGCAAAUGGGUAAGAACAUUAGACUAUCAUAUUGUAGUGGUGGUAUCUAUAGCUUCUUGCCGAUUCUGCACCAACCAUGAAACGCUGCAACCAGCUAGGCGGUCACCCUUCUCGACUGUCAUGGCCUCCCUGCGACACCAGAACCGAAGCAACCCUCUUUGCUGUAAUGGUGGUUAUCACAUAUUCAAUAUUUGUGUUGAUAUGGAUUAAAGUGAAAAACACUUACAUUUGUACUUUUCGUGUUGUACUGUUUUAAUGUAAUGGAUGUUAUUGAGCAUUAUAAUUUCACCUCUCGUCUCUCGACAAACCAA
Long non-coding RNA from Papaver somniferum (opium poppy), 3350 nucleotides. RefSeq lists it as uncharacterized. The record is from RefSeq and is a predicted model, not a curated record. The transcript is spliced from 2 exons. Lineage: Eukaryota; Viridiplantae; Streptophyta; Magnoliopsida; Ranunculales; Papaveraceae.